Molecule: ribosomal RNA, 404 nt
Filed under: uncultured bacterium
Lineage: Bacteria
Description: bacterial SSU rRNA
Rfam family: Bacterial small subunit ribosomal RNA
Source: RNAcentral
GGGCCCGCACAAGCGGUGGAGUAUGUGGUUUAAUUCGAUGCAACGCGAAGAACCUUACCAGGGUUUGACAUCCUGCGAAUCUCUUGGAAACAGGAGAGUGCCUUCGGGAACGCAGUGACAGGUGGUGCAUGGCUGUCGUCAGCUCGUGUCGUGAGAUGUUGGGUUAAGUCCCGCAACGAGCGCAACCCACGUCUUUAGUUGCCAGCAUUUAGUUGGGAACUCUAAAGGAACUGCCGAUGAUAAGUCGGAGGAAGGUGGGGAUGACGUCAAGUCCUCAUGGCCCUUACAAGGUGGGCUACACACGUGCUACAAUGGUAGUGACAAUGGGCUAAUCCCAAAAAACUAUCUCAGUUCGGAUUGUCGUCUGCAACUCGACGGCAUGAAGUCGGAAUCGCUAGUAAUCG